CGGAGAGGGCGCAUGAGAAACGGCCACCACUUCUAAGGAAGGCAGCAGGCGCGCAAAUUACCCAAUCCUGACUCAGGGAGGUAGUGACAAGAAAUAACAAUAAACCGGCUUAUGCCGGUUUAAUUGGAAUGAGUACAAUUUAAACAUCUUAACGAGGAACAAUUGGAGGGCAAGUCUGGUGCCAGCAGCCGCGGUAAUUCCAGCUCCAAUAGCGUAUACUAAAGUUGUUGCAGUUAAAAAGCUCGUAGUUGGAUUUCUGCGGGGACGGAGCGGCCGGUCGCAACUUGCGACUCGAGCUAGCGCUUUCCCCGCAUCCUGCCGCGAACCGUGCUACCAUUAGUUUGGUGGCGCUGGGGAUCGGCUCGAUUACUUUGAGAAAAAUAGAGUGUUCAAAGCAGGCCACAUGCCUUGAAUAAGUUAGCAUGGAAUAAUGACUAAGGACUUCGGUUCUAUUUUGUUGGUGUUCGGGACUGAAGUAAUGAUUGAUAGGGACAGUUGGGGUGGUCUGUAUUCCAAAGCGAGAGGUGAAAUUCUUAGACCUUCGGAAGACAAACAGCUGCGAAAGCGUUCCGCAAGGAUGUUCCCUUUGAUCAAGAACGAAAGUUGGGGGAUCGAAGACGAUCAGAUACCGUCGUAGUCUCAACUAUAAACUAUACCAGCUAGGGAUCGGCCAACGUUUAAUUAAUCGACUUGGUCGGCACCUUAUGAGAAAUCAAAGCAUCUGGGUUCUGGGGGGAGUAUGGUCGUAAGGCUGAAACUUAAAGGAAUUGACGGAAGGGCACCACCAGCCGUGGAGCCUGUGGCUUAAUUUGACUCAACACGGGAAAACUUACCAGGUCCAGACAUAGGAAGGAUUGACAGAUUGAUAGCUCUUUCUUGAUUCUGUGGGUGGUGGUGCAUGGCCGUUUUUAGUUGGUGGAGUGAUUUGUCUGCUUAAUUGCGUUAACGAACGAGACCCCAGCCUGCUAAAUAGCGCGGCCGAGCUUUGCUCGGUGCGAGCUUCUUAGAGGGACCAUGAUGCGCGAUAGCACAAGGAAGUUUGGGGCAACAACAGGUCUGUGAUGCCCUUAGAUGUUCUGGGCCGCACACGGGCUACACUGGCGCCUGCAACGAGCAUAUCAGCUGGCCCGAGAGGGUCUUGGCUAAUCUUUUGAACCGGCGCCGUGCUUGGGAUUGACCUUUGCAAUUGUUGGUCAUGCAACGAGGAAUGCCUUGUAAACGCGAGUCAUCAGCUCGCAUUGAAUACGUCCCUGCUCUUUGUACACAUCGCCCGUCGUUCCUACCGAUGAAUGUUCCGAUGAAAUUUUCGGAGAGCGCCAGAGAACGGGGCUCCGCCUUGCAGAUCUGGAGGCUCAAAGUCACUUAAAUCUGAACAUUUCGAGGAAGGAGAAGUCGUAACGAGGUAACC
RNAcentral lists this ribosomal RNA (1408 nucleotides) under uncultured Rhizaria. Its description in RNAcentral is "SSU rRNA". It matches the Rfam family "Eukaryotic small subunit ribosomal RNA", at positions 384 to 1804 of the family's 1831-position model. The record is from RNAcentral.